RNAcentral lists this ribosomal RNA (716 nucleotides) under halophilic bacterium D12. RNAcentral's name for it is "bacterial SSU rRNA". The stretch from base 1 to 496 matches the Rfam family "Bacterial small subunit ribosomal RNA", at positions 42 to 546 of the family's 1533-position model. The record is from RNAcentral. Lineage: Bacteria; Bacillati; Bacillota; Bacilli; Caryophanales.
GUCUGAAGUCAGACAUGCGCUGAACUGACGGCUGAUCGGAGCUUGCUCUGUGACGCGAGUGCUGGACCGGUGAGUACACGUAGGCACUGCCAUCAGACUCGGGAUACCACGGGAAACGUGCUAAUACCGGAUAAUCCUUUUCCACACAGGUGGAAGUUGAAAGGCGCUUUUGGCUGUCACUGAUGGAUGGGCCUGCGCGCAUUAGCUAGUUGGUGGGUAACGGCCACCAAGGCGACGAUGCGUACGCCGACCUGAGAGGUGAUCGCCACACUGGGACUGAGACACGGCCCAGACUCCUACGGGAGGCAGCAGUAGGGAACUUCCGCAAUGGACGAAAGUCUGACGGAGCAACGCCGCGUGAGUGAAGAAGGUUCGGUCGUAAACUACUGUCGUCCCAGGAAGACGCGACGGGAGUAACUGCCCUCGCUGGACGUACUGACCGAAGGCAGGCUAACUACGUGCCAGCAGCGCGGAAUACUCAGUGGCAGCGUCUAUCCGAUCAAUGGGCGUAACCCCCGCGAGCGUCGUACAGUUGACGUUGAAGCCCCGUCACCCGAGGGCAUUGAAUUGACGCUACGCGUCAGAAGAAGGUAGGGCAUUUAGUCGAGCGCUCGAAGUUGAGGACAGCUAGUGGCCGGUUAGAACUAUCUGAUGGUGGCGAAGUAUACGGUGCUGCUGUGGAGUGAGAAAAGUGGUGCUGGUAGAGGUAAUAAGAG